GAUGAAGGAAGGUUAAUGACGUAGGCAUCAUGAUGUAGCGUUAGGCUAUUAUUGACCUUCUGAGAACAUGUUAGAAGGAGGAUCAUGUGUUUCAGAACCACAGUUGUGCAUGGAUAAUUUAAACCAUGGCUAAGGGAAUACUGUGGCACUUCAUUCUCAUGCUGCUGCUCUACGUACUGUGCACCUUCUACUGGAACUUAUAUUUUAAAAAGUACUCAGGAAAGGGAAAGAUGACCCCUGGAACAGUCUUUCUCUCUUAGGAGCUUGUGCUGCCAGAUCCUCCCUGCUCAGCUUCCAGUGAGAAUACUGGCCUGAGCCUCAGAGCAUCGACUCUUCUCUCUGGAACACAAAAGCACUAUAUCAAAACUCUUGGGUUAAAGACACAUCUUACCAAGGUGCAAGUUUCCACUAACAAAUCAAGAACUGUAUGUGUGAAUUUUCUGAGGAAGAACAUCUAUUUUCCCUCAUUUCCCACUCUCAAGAGAGCAAGGUGAUGUUUUUCCUAUAAAGACAAUAUCCUCUUUCUUUUAUUCUCUUGAGGGGAUUUGGAAUUUGACUUUUUCCAAAUUCUAACUCUUGUCACUUAAUAAUCACAUGACCUCAAGCCAUAUUUUACCCAUCUGUAAAAAUGGCACACACACAAACACACACACACACACACACACACACAUAUGUAAAAUGAAGGAUAGAUAUUUAUCUUUAUACCAUCAAAUACACAUAUUUAGUAUUCAAUAAACUACUGAAUGAGCAAAAGAAGAAUAAAUAAAUAAAUUCCUAAAUAUCUAUGUUCCAAUCAAGCUAGACCAUUAUCUUCUUUAAAGCUAUAGAACUAAAACCUUGAGUUGCAAAUAUAGUUGGAGUGGUCUUGGAUGAUGUGGAGAAGACACUCUCUUAGACUGGAAACCUCCAGCUAUUCCAUUGUUGAUACAUGUUUCAAAGAAUUUAUCACACAGACCCAAGAGGAUAUGUACAAGGAUGUCCACUGCAGCAUUAUAUACGGUGGCAGAGAGACCAAGCAGCCUGGGUAUCUAGCACUGUGACAAUGUGGUAUAUACACAUCAGGGGUGUAACUGUUAGCAGGGGUGGAUCCAAUAUAUGCAUAGCAAUAUUAAUAUAUCUUAAGGCUAUGGUGCUUAAGGGCAAAAGGCAAAACAUACACAAAUUUAUAUACAGGCGCACAAAACAAUACUCAUCUUGCAAGAAAACUGCCAACAAAAGAGUCACAAUAAAAGCAUUAGAGAGAUUGAUUAUGGGAUGGAAAGAAAUGACUAACAGGAAAGACGAUAAAGGGGAGUGGAGAAAGAAGGAAGAGAGGAAAGAGGAAAGAAGAUACAUUGCUUGCAACAAUGAUUAUUAUGUUUCAUGAAGUGAACUUAAAGGUAUAAGUAAUUGUCCAUUCUGCAAUGAGGUCAGAAAAGAAGAAAUAAAGAAAUAGGAAGUAAGCCUGUGUGAAGUAGUUCUCAAACUUUUUUCUGCCCCCACAGAGUUCCAGUAUACUUCUGUCAGGACGCUAAUUCUCCAGAGACUACAGGGGAGGAGUGGAGGAAGAUGGCAGGUCACCCAUGUCUGAAGAUGCUAAAGAACUGAGUGGUGGACGAUUGGAUAAAACAGAUUCCUUUGAGAGGAUGACAUUUGAGCAGAUAUGAGGAAAACUGGAGACAGCCAAGCAAAUAUCUGGCGAGAGAAAGUUCUAAGAAGAGACAACAGUUAAUGAGAGGGCCCUUAUGUGGGAACAUGUCUGAUAUGCUCAGGAACAGAAAAGAAGACAGUGGAGUUGGACAAGAGUGAACAAGAGGUAGAACAGAGGGAUGAGAGCAGGGAAACCAAAGAGGACACAUCACCUAUGGCCCAGAAGCCACCAAAAAGACUAUGGAUUUCCAGUUCAGACAAGAUGCCAUAGACUGGCCUCUCCCUGCUCCUCUUCACUAGGUACAACUUUGAGCUUUAGAAGUGAUGCAAGAGACAAAAUCAAAGAAAUCCAAAAGGUGAGAAGAGGAAGGCAAACUGGGGUGGGAUCUUGGGACUGGAGGAGCAACAAAACAGGUAUCUUACAACCCUCCCCCCAAAAGAAGAAAGUGGCCCAGGUCUACUAUUUUCUGACUCCCAAUCUAGUGACCAAGAGCAUCCAAGUAGACUCAUCUCCAAUCUGGAUUAAACAGAGGUCUCACAAGCAAAGUCAGGUAUGCAUGGUCUAACUGACAAGAGGGAUGCAUCAGAAGUCUUGCAGAGAUUAAAUGGCCAAGGCAGGCAUUCUCCUUCCCUGCCAGACCUGAGACUCUUUGCUCUCACCCACAGAAACCUGGUAGCCUGGGGCACCAAUAAGAGGGACCAUGUCACAGGUAGCCCCCGCUUUGGAAGGUUUUGUUUUGACUCUAAAGUUCCCUUCACCUGCCUGGAGAUACCACUUGCCUGAGGGUGUCAGGAAGAGGGAUCAUGCCACAAAAAUACCUCUGGUCAAAGGAGUUCUCUCCUUCCCUGUAGGACUUGAGACACCAGCAAGAGAGAUCCCACACAACAAGCACCUGGCCCAGGAAGUUGUCUUCGUCCUACCUGACAAAGAUCUAUUCCCUACCUAGAGGUGCCAGGAAGACCAGCAGAGGUCAAGCCUCCCUUGACCUCUCAAGCAGCGUUUGCAGGGACCAGUAGGAGCCCCAGUGUCACAAGAUAAACAAAGCAGACCAAAAUAGUGCUGUGAUUGCCAUUGAAACCAUAGUCCAUGAAAGUAUAUGGGAACCUGGAUACUAAACCUAAACAGGAUGACUGCCUGCAAAAAUAAAAAAAUGUAAAUAGGACCUGGAGUCUCCUAACAUAAUAGCCAAAAUGUUCAGAACAUGUUCAAAAAUUACCAAGAACCAUGAAAAUCACACUUGAAUGAGAAGACAGUUCACUGACACCAAUACCAAGAUGAAUCAGAUGUCGGGAUUAUCUGACAAUUAUUUUAAAGCAACUAAGAUAAAAUGAUUCAACAAAUAAUUACAAAUUAUCUUAAAACAAAUGAAAAAAAUAGAAAAUUUCAGCAAAGAGAUAGAGGUCAUAAAACAAUCAAAAUGGAAAUUACUUAACUGAAAAAUACCACAGCAAACAGGGAACAAAUAAGACAGUAGUAGAAACAAAAUGACAGUAAUCUGAAUACUUUAUCUGAAUUUAUCUGAAAUAUAAAUAUUCUAAACUCAAAAGGAAUCGAUCUAGCAGGAAGACAUAACCAUCCUAAAUGUGUAUGGACCAAACAACAUUAAGCAAAAGCUGAAGCGAAAAGAGCAACAGGCAAAUCCACAAUUGUAGUUGGGACCUCAACACCUCUUCUCAGCAAGUGAACUACUAGACAGGAACUCAGCAAGAACAUAGAAGGUCAGAACAAUACAACCAGCCCACAGGAUAUACAGAGUGCUCUAUAUAUGAAUACUCCAUCCAAUAGUAGCAGAGCAAAUAAUUUUUUCACAUACCCAUGGAUAUUUAACAAGAUAAACCAUCUCCUGGACAUAACACAAAGCUCAACAAAUCUUAAAAAAAAAAAAAAAAAAGACAUUUAGCUUUUUCUGUGAAUGAAGUGGGACUCCUUGCAGGUUGUUAAACUAGAGGGCCCAGUAAGACAGUUCUGGCUACUGUUUCCUCUUGAGGCCAAAGGCAGAGGCUGUCAUACAAGUUGGGAGGCUGUUGCCAUAUUCUGGGCAAGAGAUGGUGGUGGGUUUGGAUCAGGGUGUUGUUAGCUUUGAAGGCAGUAAGUGUAGUCCAAUUCUGGGCACACUCAAGAAAGUAUAAAAAUACUUUAAUAUUGCUAUCAUUUGAAAUAAUAUUCAUGGCAAAUAAUAACAGAAUACUUAUCUGAAAAGAACAACAUUAUUAUCUCUUAUGUGACACAACUUGCCUUACUUUUUCCUAAAUAUUAAUUAACAAGCUUUGCACCUCAA
Long non-coding RNA from Felis catus (domestic cat), 3908 nucleotides. RefSeq lists it as uncharacterized. The record is from RefSeq and is a predicted model, not a curated record. Lineage: Eukaryota; Metazoa; Chordata; Mammalia; Carnivora; Felidae. The transcript is spliced from 2 exons.